UUGUCGUCAGCUCGUGUCGUGAGAUGUUGGGUUAAGUCCCGCAACGAGCGCAACCCUCGCCUUUAGUUGCCAGCAUUUAGUUGGGCACUCUAAAGGGACUGCCGGUGUUAAACCGGAGGAAGGUGGGGAUGACGUCAAGUCCUCAUGGCCUUUAUGCCUAGGGCUACACACGUGCUACAAUGGGCGGUACAAAGGGCUGCAAUCCCGCGAGGGGGAGCCAAUCCCAAAAAGCCGUUCUCAGUUCGGAUUGGAGUCUGCAACUCGACUCCAUGAAGUUGGAAUCGCUAGUAAUCGUGGAUCAGCAUGCCACGGUGAAUACGUUCCCGGGCCUU
Molecule: ribosomal RNA, 332 nt
Filed under: uncultured Desulfobulbaceae bacterium
Lineage: Bacteria; Pseudomonadati; Thermodesulfobacteriota; Desulfobulbia; Desulfobulbales; Desulfobulbaceae
Description: bacterial SSU rRNA
Rfam family: Bacterial small subunit ribosomal RNA
Source: RNAcentral